UCUCCGUUGGUGAACCAGCGGAGGGAUCAUUAUAGAGUUUUUAACUCCCAAACCCAUGUGAACCUACUAUUUUGUUGCCUCGGCGGGUCGGGCUGAUGCUUGGGAUGGCUACUCUGUAGCUACCCUGCAGAGGCCGCCGCCGGUGGGAAUUUAAACUAUUGCCAUGUAUUGUCAUCUGAGAGUCUUAUGAGAAUAAGUCAAAACCUUUAACAACGGAUCUCUUGGUUCUGGCAUCGAUGAAGAACGCAGC
RNAcentral lists this unclassified non-coding RNA (250 nucleotides) under uncultured fungus. Its description in RNAcentral is "sequence contains ITS1, 5.8S rRNA gene". The stretch from base 202 to 250 matches the Rfam family "5.8S ribosomal RNA", at positions 1 to 49 of the family's 154-position model. Lineage: Eukaryota; Fungi. The record is from RNAcentral.